GGAAAAUGGGAGGGGACAAAUAAGGGAAUAAAAGCUAGCCACCCAGCCAGCAGUGACAAUGGGCUGGGGUCCCCUUCCAUGCUGUGGAAGCUUUGUUCUUUUGCUCUUCACAAUAAAUAUUGCUGCUGCUCACUGUUUGGGUCCGUGCCAUCUUUAAGAGCUGUAACACUCACUGUGAAGGUCUGCAGCUGCAUUCCUGAAGUCGGCCAGACCAUGAACCCGCUGGAAGGAACCAACUCUGGACACACUGGGAGCCACCACACCCAGCCAAAAGUUCUUUAUAUAUUCUGAUUACUAGUUCUUUAUCAGGGUAUACAGGCAUGGCACCAGCAUAUGCUUGGCUUCUGAUGAGGCCUCAGAAAGCUUACAAUCAUUGUGAAGCCAAAGGGAGAGCAAGUAUGUCACAUGGCAAGAGCAGGAGAAAGAGAGAGGGAGAAUGAUGCCACACAACCAAAUCUUGCAUGAACUCAGAGCAGCAACUCACUUAUCACCAAGGGGAUGGAGCUAAGCCAUUCUUUGAUUAUUAUCAUCAUCAUCAUCAUCAUCAUCAUCAUUGCAGGGAGCCGAAGGCCCGUGAGACGUGACCAACUCAGCAUUUUGCUGGAGGCUAUAUGAUCAAACAGCAGACUGUUUAUCAUGAAUGCAGGAUGUGGGCAAACUCACACUGCCCUGCCACCAAAAGGUUUGCUGAGAGACAUCACUCCCUGGCACGGGGUUCCUUGCAGUUAUCUACUGAGAAAAUUAGUGCCUAUUGUUCAAAGGAUGCAGUCUCACAAGCCUGCUGUGAACCAAAGCUGGCUGACAAUUACCCAACAAUCACCCCCACCUUUCCUGCUGUCUCUUUUGCCUAAUAAAUACGGAGGGCUGUGUAAAGCUCAGGGCCCUUGUCCACUAGAGGCAAGGUGCCCCCUGACCCCUUCUUCCAAAUAGAUUCUUUUGUCUCUUGUCUUUUAUUCUCAUGUUCACCCCCGCUUUGUUCAGUCCUCCUAGGUCCGUGCAGGCUACAAGUGGCGCCCCGAACAGCGACAGAAUCGGGUGCUCUAUGGUUAUUUUGAGACAAGGUCUUGCUCUGUCACCCAAGCUGGAGUACAGUGGUGUGAUCACUGCUAACUGCAGCCUUGACCUCCUGGGCUCAAGCAAUCCUCCCACCUCAGCCUCCCAAGUAGCUGGGACCAUAGGCACAUACCACUACAUCUG
RNAcentral lists this long non-coding RNA (1197 nucleotides) under Homo sapiens (human). Its description in RNAcentral is "HSALNT0152361". The record is from RNAcentral. Lineage: Eukaryota; Metazoa; Chordata; Mammalia; Primates; Hominidae.